RNAcentral lists this long non-coding RNA (2500 nucleotides) under Gallus gallus (chicken). The record is from RNAcentral. Lineage: Eukaryota; Metazoa; Chordata; Aves; Galliformes; Phasianidae.
GAAGGGUUUAAAACCCAUCGGGUUUAGCAUAUAGCCCUCAGGUAGAGCAUGGAGAUGGCGCUCAGCUCCGUGGGCACGCAGCAGGCCUUGGGGAUGCUGGAGUUGACGGAGUUGACCAACGUCUGCACGAUGGCGUGGUUGGUGGAGUUGAGGUGGUCGGCCAGAGGGAAGGGGCAGUCCCCGUGGCAGUAAAACGCCUGGUAGCCCGGGGGGGCCACGAUCCAAUCGUUCCAACCCACGUCGCUGAAAUCCACAUAGAGAGCGUGGCGGCGGCAGUUUUUUUUGUUCUUGCGGGAACGCUGGUGCUUGGGGCUGCGGCGGGCCCUGCGGGUCAGCGCGUGGCCUCGCCCGUCGUGCCCGAAGGUGACCAGGAGCGGCCUGAGCUGCGCCCAGUCCCCGCCGUACCCCUGAGGUAAAGAUCGGCUAAUCCUGACGUGUUUGCCCUGAUGAGUCUGUGCCUGGUGGAGGUGGGUCACCUCGAUCACCAGCCCGUGGUUGGGCUGCUUGUCCUUGGUCCACCGGAUCACGGCUGGGCUCACAUCAAAGGUCUCCCAGCGCGUCACGUUGUGGUGCACCAACCGCGUGUCCAACAGGCGCGUAAUGGCCUGCGAGCGCUCCGACAGCGGCUUCAUCACUUCGUAAAUGUUUAUCCGGUGGAAGCCCCUCUCCCACGCCGCGCUCGGCUCCUCCACCUGCUCCCGGUACAGCCGCAGCUCCGCCGACGAGAUCACCUCGUUGUCCGGCACGCUGCUGAGGUUGAAGACGAAGCGGAUCCGCGGCACUUCGCUGGGACCCGGCACGCUCUCCAGGUGCUCUGAGUGGGCGCGGGGAAGGGGGAAAGCGGGACAAAGGGACAAAACGGGAGUGCAUCGUCAGCCUCGGGGCACGCAGCCACAGCCCCGGCGCCGUUCCAGCCCGCCUUCACCUGCCUGGCUCCAUUUCCCCCCGCAUCGCAGCCGGUGCCGGAGCGGUCCCGGUGCCGUGCACUCUCCCUCCGCGCUCUGACCCUUUCCUUCCGCCUCUCCCCCACUUUGGAGGAGAUUUUCCCCCUCUGCUCCCCCCCCCAACCCCCCUCCCCCGGGUCUCCAGAGCAGCGGGGAGCACAGAGCUGCCUUGUUACGGGGCGCAGGGGGAUUUUUUUUUUCCUUAAGAGCAAAACCAGGCAGCGAUCGUUGGGAAGUUGAAAGGAAACGCUCCGGGGGUGGGCGACCUCCCGCCCUCCUUCACUCCCGCAGCGGAUGCACGAAGCCCACGCGAGCCCGGGAGCGACCCCGCGGCACGGGGACCGGCGGACGGCGUCGUCGAAGCGCUCCAACACCUCGGAACAGCCGCGGGAUGCGGGGACAGCAGCGGGACAGCCCGGCAGACGCUGUCACCCGCGCACCGCGCGCGUCGGGAGCGUUUUUCCUCCCGUAAAAAGCAAGAGGCGGGCACGACCCGCUCCCAAACGCAUUGGUGAGCCGCCGAGCGCUCCCGGCGCUGGGAAUUUCCCUCCUCCCAUCACUGACCUUCAUGGUGGAAGCUCCUCACGGUGUUGGCCCGGCUGGUCGAUCGCUCCGGGUACUGCAGGCUGAUCUCCUGGAGGCUCUCCUCCUCUUCUCCGGACUGGAGCCGGUAGAGAUCCAGCAUGUAACUGGGGAUGACGGCUGAUUUGCUGGGCUGGGGCCGCCUUCGCAGCCCAAACAUCUGCAGCAGAGUCGUUUCGAAACCCCGCAAGAGUUCAUGGCUUUGGGCAGAGCGGCGUCCGGAUCCGGCUUGUCCCUGAAGCUCUGCGACUUUCUUCCUGCCGGUCUCGGGGAUCAGGCUAGCAUGGUUGGUACCUCCCAGCAGGACUUGGCAUAGUAGGAUGACCAUCAGCAUUCGGUUACCAGGAAUCAUGGUGUCUCUGGGGUGUAAAAAACGCAACAACAAACGACAAGGAAAGUCAGGAUGAGAAGCGAGCCCCCCCCCGCCCCCCUCCUCUCCUCCUCCUCUUCCGAAGAAAGUUGAAAAAUACAAAAAAAUACAUGGCAAAGCGCGAUGAGAAGGAGCCGGCGGGGACAGGCGGCUCCCGGGGCAUCGCGGCCGCCGCGGGGCUGCGGGAAGGGGCGCGCGGCGCGGCGGGGCGCGGGGCUGCGGGUUCGAAUCCCGCUGCGGGACGCGGAGACAAAAAUAAAGUUAAAAAAGAAAAAAAAAAAAAAGAGAAAGAAAAAUUAAAAAAAAAAAGUAAAAUAACUAAAAAUAAUAAUAGUAAUAAAGGAUCGGCAUAAAAAAAUAAAAAUUAAAAAAAAAAGCCAAGGCGAGGAAGAAGAGGGCUGUACUCACUGACAGCAAGCAAGGCAUAUCAGCACAGUCCAUGAUUCUGGAGAGCCAGCGCGGACCCAGCGCGCCGAAAGCCUCCGGGGCAGCGGCUGCCGAGCGCCUCCCGCGAUCGCCGCCCGGGCGCAGUGCGACCGCCGCCGCCGCCGGCCCCCGUUUUCUCCCGGCCCCGCAGUCACGUGGAGCCGCUCAACCCCCCCCC